GAUGAACGCUGGCGGCGUGCCUAAUACAUGCAAGUCGAGCGAACGGACGAGAAGCUUGCUUCUCUGAUGUUAGCGGCGGACGGGUGAGUAACACGUGGAUAACCUACCUAUAAGACUGGGAUAACUUCGGGAAACCGGAGCUAAUACCGGAUAAUAUUUUGAACCGCAUGGUUCAAAAGUGAAAGACGGUCUUGCUGUCACUUAUAGAUGGAUCCGCGCUGCAUUAGCUAGUUGGUAAGGUAACGGCUUGCCAAGGCAACGAUGCAUAGCCGACCUGAGAGGGUGAUCGGCCACACUGGAACUGAGACACGGUCCAGACUCCUACGGGGGGCAGCAGUAGGGAAUCUUCCGCAAUGGGCGAAAGCCUGACGGAGCAACGCCGCGUGAGUGAUGAAGGUCUUCGGAUCGUAAAACUCUGUUAUUAGGGAAGAACAUAUGUGUAAGUAACUGUGCACAUCUUGACGGUACCUAAUCAGAAAGCCACGGCUAACUACGUG
This 497-nucleotide ribosomal RNA is filed under the name uncultured bacterium. RNAcentral describes it as "partial 16S ribosomal RNA". It matches the Rfam family "Bacterial small subunit ribosomal RNA", at positions 28 to 507 of the family's 1533-position model. The record is from RNAcentral.